This is a small nucleolar RNA of Rhododendron vialii, 105 nucleotides long. RefSeq annotates it as small nucleolar RNA snoR100. The record is from RefSeq and is a predicted model, not a curated record. Lineage: Eukaryota; Viridiplantae; Streptophyta; Magnoliopsida; Ericales; Ericaceae. The transcript has a single exon.
CCAUAAAUGCAUGGUAACGUGCACAGAAAUUGAUUUGGGUCUUUAGGCCUGCCCUCUCUAAUGCCUUUCGGCUUUGAUUUGGGGGCAUGGUGUGAAUAUAUAUUU